CGUGGAAUAGGCUAAUAUAGGUCGUUGGGUUCAUAGCCUAAAGGUGUGUUUGUACUUUCGCGG
RNAcentral lists this transfer RNA (63 nucleotides) under Barbatia decussata. RNAcentral describes it as "tRNA-Met". Lineage: Eukaryota; Metazoa; Mollusca; Bivalvia; Arcoida; Arcidae. The record is from RNAcentral.